AAAGGGAAGUGGUGAAUAACUGCUACUAAGUGCCUGGUCUAGGGCUGGAAGGAUAUAUACAGGCUCAACACUGCCCCAGUAUGUCUUCUUUCCAGCCCCCAUGUCUCCUGUGGAAGAUUAUAUUAUGCUCUUCCCAG
This is a microRNA precursor of Equus caballus (horse), 137 nucleotides long. Lineage: Eukaryota; Metazoa; Chordata; Mammalia; Perissodactyla; Equidae. The record is from Ensembl.